CUGCUCUUAACAUUCAAAUGGUAAAAACCAAAACUGGUGAGAAAGCUCUCAAAUUAUAUGUAAAGGUGUUCUGUCUAACUGCUUCUGGCCAAAAAAAGCAAGGAAUUGGCAAAAAAGUCAUUUCAGAUUUCAGCAUAUUGGACUGAUCCCUCAAAUUUUAUCUUUCCAGUCACUUGGAUGUGGCAGUUAAUCACUCAUGCAUGUUCUGAAACUGAAGUUGCUGAUUUUCUGCUUUGGACUCCAUUUAGAGCAAUCAGAGGGACGCUGUAACCCCGAUUAGCCGGCUGCCCUGGAGUGAAGAAGUACCUUGUUAUUGUGGAGACGUUGUGGCUACUUUGUGCACCCCUUAAAACUCCAGGGAAAGUCCUUAUGUUCCAUUUAUGAAUGAGCGCGCACACACAAAAGUUCACAACUGUUUCCUAUUAGUCAGAGUAUCUUGUAAUAGUGCUUCUUUCAGAUUGCUCCUGCGUAUUGAAAAAAAAAAAUGUUUGUUUUAACAGACCCUAUGUAUUUGUACAAAACUGAUCUGAAUAAUUCUAAACAUGUAGGAAUAUACGAUAUUGUUGCUUAUGGCAGCUGAACAACUAAUCUACUUGAUGCAGUGAUACUGAAUACGCUUCAGAGAGUGCGUGGCAGUCGUGUAGUGUGUGUGUUGGAGCUCUUCAAUGAGGUUUUAGUUAUUUCAAGUCAGUAUUUUCUGUUAGAAUCCCCCCAGCUAAAAAAUAAAAUGAAAAGCCAAGCACAAACCUUGCACUUCAAAUAUGAACUGGAAACAAACCCGAUUUACAAUUCACUAGGUGAAAAUUGCUCUCUUCUGCCAUAAUUCAAUGCACAUUUGGUUUAUUUGAGAAUUCAUAUAUUAUAACCAUUCUUGCUCACACUUAUGCAUAUCUUGGUUUGGUGCAUGCAUGCAGUGGGGCUGAUUUUUCCCCCCGUUUUUUCUUUUCUUAUUUCUUUUUUUUCCUUCUGGCUUUACGUUGGAAGUGGAGGCCUCCCCCUCCCGACAGGACCUUCCACCUGAGGGCAGCACAGUCAUCAGCUCGAACUUCUUCGGAGUCAAUCUUGCUUGUCCCAAUCCAGCUUCAUUGCGGCUCCAGUGAGAUCCCAAGUGGAGGAUCCCCUGUGACAGACAGCACUACUGCCAGGACCUGACAUGGAGCUGGGGCUGCCGGCGGGAGCCAAGCUGCAGCAGAGCAAGCAGAGAGUCUGGUGCACUCGUAUGGGCAGGUAACUCUUGGAACUUCCUUGCCUUAAGACAUAAAUUUCAGCGCAUUUUUUAACUGCUAAUGAUUUAGGAUCUUAAACAACUUUAAAAUAUUCCUUUAAAUGAAAUCUUUGCAGUUAACCUUUAACUGCUUCCAGUUCACAGAAUCUUUUACAAGAAAGGGCAGGAAAUCAAUAGCUUUAAAAAGCAAAAGCAACAGCCCUAGCAUCAAUGUGUGCCAUAUCGCACCAGUGUGCCAGUGCGAGCAAUUGCCUGGAGCAGGCAGGAGGUGAUGCAGAAUAGCCAUCCUCUGGGUUACUUUUGCAUUAUAACUUGGCUCCUAAAGAAUGUUACGAGGGAAAAGGGAGGGUGAAGGUUGGUUUCAUCACCAAGCCAUUAUGAGGGGGAACCUGGGGCAAAUGAUGUUUGUCCAUACAGGAAUCCCUAAAUCCAUCGAUUUCUCAGAGCUCAUUAGUGGGAGUAUGGCAAGCAGAAUUUUGACCUGCUUUUAGUGUUGUGCUUGUCCUGGAAAUUGUUGCUACUUUUGUCACUCUAUUACAAGUACUAUGAAACAGGGAGAGAUCUAAACUUAAACCAUCUGUUUAUCAACCUCAAUUUCUCCCCCUAUGCAAACAAACCAAAACUGCUCUCUCUCCCCCAUACACACACACACACACCCUGUUCAGUAAGUUUUACUUUGUUUGGCUUUUCCAUGCUUUUGUCUCAGAUGUUAGAAGGCUGGACACAAGGUCAUUCACUAACCAUUUCAUGUGGAUACAGCAAGUCACUUCAGGUCUUCUCCCCCUCCCCUCAAUUCAUCUGAAAUCUCUGCUGUGCAGUAAUGGAACUGCAAACAGUACAGUAAAGCCCUCAUGGUGAAAAAUAAAAAAGUGCUCUUGUUCCA
Molecule: long non-coding RNA, 2108 nt
Organism: Anser brachyrhynchus (Pink-footed goose)
Lineage: Eukaryota; Metazoa; Chordata; Aves; Anseriformes; Anatidae
Source: Ensembl